Molecule: non-coding RNA, 73 nt
Organism: Parelaphostrongylus tenuis
Lineage: Eukaryota; Metazoa; Nematoda; Chromadorea; Rhabditida; Metastrongylidae
Source: the annotation of a GenBank genome assembly
GCCUCGAUGGUGUAGUGGUAGAAUACGCAUCUCCGGUAUGGAUAAAACGCGGGUUCGAUUCCCGCCUGAGGCC